Small nuclear RNA from Pseudophryne corroboree (corroboree frog), 112 nucleotides. RefSeq annotates it as U5 spliceosomal RNA. The record is from RefSeq and is a predicted model, not a curated record. Lineage: Eukaryota; Metazoa; Chordata; Amphibia; Anura; Myobatrachidae. The transcript has a single exon.
AUACUCUGGUUUCUCUUCAGAAUGAAUAAAUCUUUCGCCUUUUAUAAAGAUUUCCGUGGAGAGGAACAACCAUGAGUUUCAUGUAAAUUUCUCUAUCGUCCUAAGUGGAUGC